RNAcentral lists this transfer RNA (75 nucleotides) under Cordylochernes scorpioides. RNAcentral describes it as "tRNA-Thr". Lineage: Eukaryota; Metazoa; Arthropoda; Arachnida; Pseudoscorpiones; Chernetidae. The record is from RNAcentral.
UGUCAAGGGAUGGGAAUCGAACUCACGACCUUCCGCUUACCGGGCAGAUGCCAUGACCACUAGGCUACCAUGGAC